This is a non-coding RNA of Rattus norvegicus (Norway rat), 2401 nucleotides long. The record is from RefSeq and is a predicted model, not a curated record. NCBI's taxonomy places the organism in Eukaryota, Metazoa, Chordata, Mammalia, Rodentia, Muridae.
CCUUGGCACCCUUUCUGUGCCUCUGAAGGACAAGCCUGGGUACCUGACCUGACUCCCUUUGAUGCCUUCCUGAUGUGUUCUGAGUUGUUGCAUUUGAGUCUGGUUCUGCGGGAGCCUCAGUCCUUCUCUCUAAUAGAAAUUCCUAUCCAACUCUCAAGAUUGGACUUAGGGAGCUGGAGAGAUGGCUCAGCAGUUAAGGGCAUUGACUGCUCUUCUAGAGGUCCUGAGUUCAAAUCCCAGCAACCACAUGGUGGCUCGCAACCAUCUGUAAUGGGAUCUGAUGCCCUCUUCUGGCGUUAUCCCUAUCUUACGGCUGACGGAGCAGACUCAGAGGCUGUUCUUCAACUCUAUACACAGAGACUACUAUGAAGAAGAUGAAGACACAGUCCUUUUCCUGGAGGAUCUCAGAGGAAGAUCCUCCAGGCAAGCCAUUUAUUUCAGAGAGAAGCCUAGAUGAGAGGACAUAGGAACCCAAGGUACCAUGAGACCACAACGAGCUUCUCCAAAGACACAGAAGCAAUAAGUACUGGGGCCAGGAUUCAAGUGUGGUCAGGAGGCUCAGUCAUAGUCAGAGUUCUGGGGAAGGGCAGUGGCCCUAGCUGCUGGCAGGUGCUUUUAAGAACAAGAAAAGAGGGGUUGGGGAUUUAGCUCAGUGGUAGAGCGCUUGCCUAGCAAGCGCAAGGCCCUGGGUUCGGUCCCCAGCUCCGAAAAAAAGAAAAAAGAAAAAAAAAAAAAGAACAAGAAAAGAACACUGAGAAUUGGGAUAUGGUAUGACAACUUAGUACCACAGAGCUAGAGACGAUGAAUGGUGGUACUGUCAAGUUCAAUGGGCCAUGAAGACCCAGCCCUGGACAGAACUGAUUCUAUAGCUUAGAGGUACCAGUAAAUGCCAGUAAGUGGUUUGAACUACGGCAUGUGUGGAAGAGCCAUUGGAGAUGGGAAAAACCAGGUUGCCCUUUAGGGAUGGAUUGAGAACAGAGUAUCAAAUACCACAUUGGGACUGAGAGGAGAGGUCAUAUUGAAAAUGGCAGUGGGUAUGUCAUAAUGAAAUCACAUGACCCUUGUACUGAUAUCAGAACGUGACUACUUUCUAGAAUCUAUCACCCUGAGUGUGUAUGUCUGUGGUUAUGUGUGCUUGGGCAGAUAUAUGUGUUUGUGGAUGUCAAGGCUAGGAGUCAACGCUGGGUGCCUUCCUCUACUGCAUCUUCACAAUAUUUUUUGAGACAGAGACUCUCACAGAACCUGGAGCUCAGCAGUUUGACUGGAUCAGCUCACCAGCAAACCCCAGGAACUCCCCCGCCUUCUCAGCUCUAGGAUUAUCAUACACCGCCAACCCUGGCUGUUUAAGUGGGUGCUGGCGAUUGGAACAUAAGUCCUCAUGCUUACACAGGGAGCAUUUUAUUGACCGAGCCAUUUCUCCAGCUCUGUCGUCUUCAUUUUAUUUCAGUUUAGUCUAGUAGAUAUUGGCAGGACAGUAUUCCUUUCGGAAAGUGUCUCUCCUUUACUCCAAACUUUGCUCCCUCCCCCCCCCCAUAGAAUGCCAGAUCUGAAAGGUGUUUGGGACCCCAACCUCUUCUGGGGGGUCCUCUGCUUCUGACUAGCUCAGACAUAGGAUAGGUGGGGAAGGGCUGUGUGCAUCAUGAGUUUUUCCUAGGUCAGUGGGGAAAGAGGGGGAGAUCAGAGGACUCACAAAGAGGAGGCUAGGGCAGAGAAAACACGGAGAAUGGGGCAGCUCAGGGAACAGCCUCCCUGGGCUAGUGGCUCCAUUUGGUUUCCCAUUUAAAGGGGGAGGCUUAGCUAGGCAAGGAGAAAAAGGCUAAUAAGAAAAAUAUUAAAUUGCAGUGUGUGUGUCCCCAGGGACUUCCUGUUGCCAUGACUGACCUCCUGGAGAGCGCCAUCCGUCCCCAAGCGUGGCAGCUUUAUAGGUACUUGUAGGCCUGCAAAGAACACCAAUUUGCUGCUACAGUUUGUUUUGAUAACUGAAACUUUCAAUAAAUCUAUAUUAAAAUCAAAGAGAAAAUUAACUGGGCCCCGGUGAAGGGCCCAGAGAUAAGGGAGCACAUUACCACCCUGGCCUCCACUGCCUCACAUCCAUCUCUUAGUUCAGAUUCGGGUCACCAGGGGGAUGAAUGGUACAGGCUUAUGGCGAACAAGCAGGGGGGAAGAGGGAAUGGCCAGGUUCAGGCCCCACCGAUGAUCUGGUAGAAGACAGCCGGCGGGGAAGAGAAAGAGGUAGGGGGUUGUGGUCCGAGUGGCACGAGGAGUUGGAGAAUGCGGUGGAGACAAGAAACGUAACAACAGCCUCCAUUUACUGAGCUCUUCAAUGCCAUGCACCAAGCAUCUUGGAUUUAAUUCUUCUUCUUUUUUUCGGAGCUGGGGACCGAACCCAGGGCCUUGGGCA